AACGAACGCUGGCGGCAGGCUUAACACAUGCAAGUCGAGCGCCCCGCAAGGGGAGCGGCAGACGGGUGAGUAACACGUGGGAAUCUACCCAUCCCUACGGAACAACUCCGGGAAACUGGAGCUAAUACCGUCUACGCCCUUUGGGGGAAAGAUUUAUCGGGGAUGGAUGAGCCCGCGUUGGAUUAGGUAGUUGGUGGGGUAAAGGCCUACGAAGGCUACGAUCCAUAGCUGGUCUGAGAGGAUGAUCAGCCACAUUGGAACUGAGACACGGCGCAGACACGUGCGGGAGGCAGAAGUGGGGGUAUUUGGAUAAUGGGCGUAAGCUUCAUCAAGCCAUCCCGUGGGAAAGAUGAAUGCCUUAGGGUUGUAAGGUGCUUUGACCGAUGAAGAUAAUGAAGGAAGUCGGAGAAUAAGCCCCGUCGACCUACGUGCAAGAAGCCGCCAGAA
This 447-nucleotide ribosomal RNA is filed under the name uncultured bacterium. RNAcentral describes it as "partial 16S ribosomal RNA". It matches the Rfam family "Bacterial small subunit ribosomal RNA", at positions 29 to 523 of the family's 1533-position model. The record is from RNAcentral.